AUACAUAGGGGGCAAGCGUUAUCCGGAAUUAUUGGGCGUAAAGGGUGCGUAGGCGGUCUAUUAAGUCUGAGGUGUAAGUGCAGGGCUCAACCCUGUGAUGCUUUAGGAACUGGUAGACUUGAGUGAGAUAGAGGCAAGUGGAAUUCCAUGUGUAGCGGUAAAAUGCGUAAAUAUAUGGAGGAACACCAGUGGCGAAGGCGGCUUGCUGGGUCUAUACUGACGCUGAGGCACGAAAGCGUGGGGAGCAAACAGGAUUAGAUACCCUGGUAGUCCACGCCGUAAACGAUGAGUACUAAGUGUUGCGAGAACGCAGUGCUGAAGUUAACAUAUUAAGUACUCCGCCUGAGUAGUACGUACGCAAGUAUGAAACUCAAAUGAAUUGGCGGGG
Molecule: ribosomal RNA, 388 nt
Filed under: uncultured bacterium
Lineage: Bacteria
Description: partial 16S ribosomal RNA
Rfam family: Bacterial small subunit ribosomal RNA
Source: RNAcentral